GCGGUGUUUCACGACGAAGUGGAGAUCGAGGACUUCCAAUAUGACGAGGACUCCGAGACGUACUUCUACCCCUGCCCGUGUGGGGAUAACUUCUGCAUCACCAAGGAAGAUUUGGAGAAUGGGGAAGACGUGGCAACGUGCCCUAGCUGCUCACUCAUUAUUAAAGUGAUUUAUGACAAAGAUCAGUUUACUUGUGGAGAGACAGUCCCAACCCCUUCCACCAACAAAGAACUAGUUAAAUGCUAAAGAAGACUUCAGGACUUCAAAGCCUGAACUUUUGGGAAUGAGCCAAGGUGGAAGAAUCAAAUGCAGAGUCACUGGCUUCUUCAUGUGGACCAUCAUUUUGUAGUUUGCUGUUCAUUAGCGUGUGGAUUCUUUCCAUUGGUGGCUGGGUUCAUCUCCAAUUGAAGAAGCAAGUUCACCACAUGACAUACCCAGGUUUUGUGCUUAGAACUUUAAAAUUGGAAGUGUUCUUAAUUUUCCAUCCACACUUAAAAGAAGAUAAUUUCAAAUCAGUGCUUUCUUUCCCUCAGUUUUGUUGCUUUUAUGACUUACACCUAAUUUCAUUAUCUGACAACAGCAUUAUCUACCUUAAAGUCAUUAAGAUGCUUUAAUUUAAAAAAGGGAUUUUAUGUUUUAGUUGGUCAUUAAGAUUAUUAAAACUAGCCAUUUCUUUAAUUUCACAUCAUCUUUGCUGUUCUAAACUGAAGGAAAUUAGUUGCCUCUUGUCAGUCAGGAUUGCACCUUCAGUUGGCCAUGCCAGUCUUCCAGAGCUAGCAGUUAGUCAAAUGUUUAUGUUCUGUUAAGCAUGCCAUUUCCGUUAUACAACACCUGUUUUUGCUGAAGAUGAAUUUGAAAAUGAGAUGCCUCUUCUAGUUAAAUAUGCCCUUGAGUGGAGAUCCCCAUCCUGACUCAGUGGAAAUGAAUCUGGCUAGUAUCCACAAGGAUGCAGGUUCAAUCCCUGGCCUCUAUCACUGGGUUAAGAAUCCGUUGUUGCCUUGAGCUGUUGUGUAGGUCACAGACACGGCUUGGAUCUGGCAUUGCUGUGGCUGUGGUAUAGGCCAGCGCCUACAGCUCCGAUUCAGCCCCUAGCCUGGGAACCUCCAUAUGCCGAGGGUGCAGCCGUAAAAAAAAAAAAAAAUAUGCCUUGAGGCUCAUCUGAUAAACUUCUAUAAGCUGCAACCACAUCAGAGAUUCACUCUUUGCAGAGAAAUUUUGCCCUGGAGAAAAGCAUAUAAAGAUAAGCUAUCAGUCUUCCUUUGCUACAGUCCUGAUAGUAGCAAGAAAUAGAAUCACUCAUAUAGAAAGUCCAGAAUUCCCUUUAUAUACACACCUUUGCUAUGUGUAUAUAAAGUUAAACAAACCAAUGUCUGGCAGGUUGUUUGGGGAAUGGCUCCUGCAGUUAGAAAAAUAGCUUGCCAAAAUGUGAACAUUUUGUUACUAACUGAUAAAUGUGCUGAACACACUCUUUGAGGGUCUAAAUUAAAACAGGCAAGUGUUUUUUUUCUCCCUGCUAGCAGCAUAGCUAUGUGGAGCCAUUAGGCUGAGACAUAAUUAACCACCGAAAAUUGAAUGCCAGGACUGCUUGGUAUAUUAUAUGAACUAUUAUAUGGCACAUGCUUCAUGUUAGGAGAAACCCCAUCCCCAUUUGAGACACUGAUGCCCCAGGGGUAAUCCACAGUUGUUUGAAAGCAGUGACGGCUCAGGUGAACAGAGCAGGGUGUGUGUUGACCCUUGGGGAUGAGCUGCAAUGAGAAACUGAGGUUUUGUAGAUACCAAUAACUGAUGAUGAAUUUCAGGCAAUAACAGACAUCCUUGGUGUCAUAGUCUGCUAGAGCACAGAAGAGCAGGAAGAAGUUCCCUAAGUCCAGACGUCCCAGGAGAAAAGAAGCAAAUGGUACUGGCGAUGAAUAAACUGUGAUAAUGAGAACAAUUUUGUUUCCAAAGCAAGUGAAUCACUAAAUCUGUUAACCACAAAAACACAUAUCAGGAUUUAAUGCUAUGUUAAACAGAAGGUAAAACCAGGUCUUGAAGGUCUGACUAGCAUUCUUUGUGGUGUAUGCCUUGUUUAGCUUAACAGACAUUUCAGAGCCUCUGAGAACUGAUGGUAAUCCAGGCUUUGUCUCUUGCUAGCUUUGUGAUCUUUGGCAAGGCUAGUGGAUUCCUCAUCUGUACAAAUAGGAGACUGGUUCAGGGGGUUUCAAACUCAGUACUAUAAUUUCAGGCUUUGUAGUUUGCAGAAGCUGGAAUGAUAAUUGAAACCUUUCUAAACUAAACAUGAUCUACAAGGAUCAUGCAUGUACUUUAGUGUAUACAUUCAGAACCCUUAUUUUGUGGAAAGCACCCAACAUUUUUGAUAACUGUACAUAUUAAUUUAUUACCAGAAUAAAUUGUAUUGGCAUGCUAAAUAAAAGAUUAUUUAUUAAAAAAAAAA
Molecule: long non-coding RNA, 2434 nt
Filed under: Sus scrofa (pig)
Lineage: Eukaryota; Metazoa; Chordata; Mammalia; Artiodactyla; Suidae
Description: lncRNA (ENSSSCG00030063858.1)
Source: RNAcentral